This 28-nucleotide non-coding RNA is filed under the name Bombyx mori (domestic silkworm). The record is from RNAcentral. Lineage: Eukaryota; Metazoa; Arthropoda; Insecta; Lepidoptera; Bombycidae.
UAUAAACGCGUCGAGACGCCUACCGUUA